GACGAACGCUGGCGGCGUGCCUAACACAUGCAAGUCAAGGCGGUAGCAAUACCGACUGGCGCACGGGUGCGGAACACGUAGGUAAUCUGCCCUUUAGGGGAGAACAACUCAUCGAAAGGUGAGCUAAAUCUCCGUAAUGUUUUACUAUGGCAUCAUAGUUCAACCAAGUUUUCUAGGAUGAGCCUGCGUCUGAUUAGCUAGUUGGUGAGGUAACGGCUCACCAAGGCACGAUCAGUAGCUGGUCUGAGAGGAUGAUCAGCCACAUUGGGACUGAGACACGGCCCAGACUCCUACGGGAGGCAGCAGUGAGGAAUAAUUGCUCAAUGGACGAAAGUCUGAAGCAGCAACGCCGCGUGAGGGAUGAAGGUGC
RNAcentral lists this ribosomal RNA (370 nucleotides) under uncultured bacterium. Its description in RNAcentral is "bacterial SSU rRNA". It matches the Rfam family "Bacterial small subunit ribosomal RNA", at positions 28 to 417 of the family's 1533-position model. The record is from RNAcentral.